This 273-nucleotide ribosomal RNA is filed under the name Triticum aestivum (bread wheat). Its description in RNAcentral is "partial small subunit ribosomal RNA". Lineage: Eukaryota; Viridiplantae; Streptophyta; Magnoliopsida; Poales; Poaceae. The record is from RNAcentral.
AUGGUUGACGGAGUUGAGCGGAUGCUUCGGGGAGUCAGGCAUGUGCCAGGGCUAAGGAGGAAUCUAAUUUCGCUUGGUGUUCUUCAUGAUGGUGGUAUGGAAUUCCGUUGUGAUCGGGAUACGAAGACCAUGGAAAUCAUGGAAGAUGGGGUGACUGUGAUGAUAGGAGAGAGGACGGCUUCGCAUCUUUACAAGUUGCAAGGGAGCACUAUUGCAGGUGGAGCCAUGGGUCACGGUGGCGGCGGGUCUGGCCCGUCGGGUAGCUCUCAGUAA